GCGGGAAUAGCUCAGUUGGUAGAGCAUCACCUUGCCAAGGUGAGGGUCGCGAGUUCGAAUCUCGUUUCCCGCU
Molecule: transfer RNA, 73 nt
Filed under: Johnevansia muelleri (SeqCode)
Lineage: Bacteria; Pseudomonadati; Pseudomonadota; Gammaproteobacteria; Johnevansiales (SeqCode); Johnevansiaceae (SeqCode)
Description: Candidatus Johnevansia muelleri tRNA-Gly (GCC) (tRNA-Gly-GCC-1-1)
Rfam family: tRNA
About the family: Transfer RNA (tRNA) molecules are approximately 80 nucleotides in length.
Source: Rfam by way of RNAcentral